UUGCUUUUGAGCCUGUUUGAUUGGCGGGCUCGGUCUGGAAUGGGCGGUCUUAAUGAUGGCGGCCAGACGGCGGCAUAUCUUACAUACAGAACCAACCUGAAUAAGCUUAAGUUAAACAGUUGUCCUGCAGCCACUGGGAAACACCGACCAGUUGCCUGGUUGACAUUUCUGCAGCCAAAUGAGAAGUUUCUGCUGUCACAUAAAUAAUCGUGUCAUCUGCAUACAUUUGACAACCGACCUCCUUGCAACUUUCAGUAAUUGCAGUCAACCACCAAUAGAGGACGCCCUACACCAUGACAACACUGACAUGGAUCCUUUCUAUAUCCAGUUUGAACAGCAACAGGAAAUCCAAGAAACUCUUUUAAGACUUUUCAUACACACAAAAAAAUGGUUUUGUGUAAUUAAUUUAAUAUUAUAGAAUAUUAGUAUUCUCUUGCUGUAAAAGCAUGAUCGGUGGCAAUAUCUUUACAGCAUGUUUAAGGAAGUUAGAUGGGUGGCUCCCAAACCACUUCCUCUGAUGAGCACAAAAUGCGUCUCUGGUCUCAUGAGGCUGUUGUGGGUUCAAGCUUAAAAGGUCCCAUGGUCAUAAAACCACACCCUAAUAGAUUCAGUCCUGUGAGGUGCACUGGCCCAAAUGGAGCCAAGUUUACUUGUACUAGUGCCGUGCAAAAAAAAAAACAAAAAAAAACAUAAUUUCUUCAUUAAUGUGGAAUGCGGCAGUUCUUUUUUAAGUGCACACUGCAUGCUUUCAUGUUUUGACUGAACUUGCUUCUUUGAUUUUGAGCACUUGGAACCAGAAAGUCUGUUUGUGUGACAACAAAGAUUACCUCUUGGCAACCGCUGACAUUUGAUAGGUGUCGUAUUAAGAAACAACAGGACUGUUCACAUGCUCGCUAAUCAUUACUCAUAUGAGGUGUGAGCAGUUGCUGGCAAUUCAGCUUUUGAACAGUUUCCUUGUAAGCUAAUCUCUUGCAUGCACGCCAACACAAGGAAGAGGGUUUCAGAAAGUGACGUCUAUCUCAAGCAUGGUUCUGUUAGUACAAAUCACUGGCUAUGAGUUUAAUAGAACAGAGUUUGUGUAUCCCAUGAAACAAGUCUGUGCCUAUUGGAUGGAGCUGGUCACGUGACAGUCCAUUCAUUUCAUUAGCCUACUUGUGACCGUCACGGUGCAGUGUCUUAGUCAUAAGGACCCUCGAAUGCCUGGACCAUCUGGACUUAUUUGUGUUUUGCCAGACGGCUGUGAUGUUGUGUGUUAAAUACAAUAAUCGUUUUAAAAUAUCUUCUGAGUAUAAAUUCAUUUCACACACAAUUACCUGUCAUUUUAAGCUCACUACUAUGGUUUACCUGCUUGACCCUGUUUUAUAGUGUGAUGUUGUUGUGUGUGAGUUUGUAAUGCAUCAGUGGGGGGAGGUUUGACUAUAGCUUUGACUGGCUCAUGCUGAACAAAAGCAGAUGAGGAACUACUGUGAUGCUGCCGAGGCUGGAGAGAUCUAGUUCAGACCGGUAGCUGGGUGCUGGCUUCAACACUGAAGGGAUCUUUGGCGGUGGGAGGGUUUUUUUUUAUUGUCGUCAGUGUGAUUAAUUUAGGGAAGACAGUCUUCAGAGGUUUCACAGUUACUAUUGUAAGAGGUAAUUACGUACUGCCCUAAGAUGGAGGAAGUCAAAACUCUGACUGCUUUUUAAACUGCCUGUUGUAAAGGUUAUAGAAGUGCGAGCUGAUGAUUUAUCCUGUAGAUACUGAUUAAACUGUUUGUUAUUGGAUUUAAAACUGAAUAAAUUAAUGAUUAUAUUAAUAUAAACUUAUAAUCAUUUGGAAGAUGCUUUUAUCCAAAGGUAUCAUAUACAAUAUGAACAUUUAUAUUUAUCAUAGAUAGAUAGAUAGAUAGAUAGGUAGGUAGAUGAAAGACAGAAAAAAAUGAUCAAUUAUUACAUUAAUAUGUAUUCAUUUAGAAUAUGCUUUUAUCCAAAGUAAGUUUAUCAUAAAAUGUAUCAAAUGUAUUUUUAACCCCUUUAAAUUUAGUUAAACCAUAUGGACACAAAAAAAUUUGCAUCAUGUUAUUG
Molecule: long non-coding RNA, 2061 nt
Organism: Ctenopharyngodon idella (grass carp)
Lineage: Eukaryota; Metazoa; Chordata; Actinopteri; Cypriniformes; Xenocyprididae
Exons: 3
Source: RefSeq, a predicted model, not a curated record